UCGGUUGCGCUCUCUCUCUCUCUCUCUCAGGGCUUGAGCGAUAAACGUGAGCACGACAUUCUUCUGUUAAAGAAAGAGGUCAAGUGACGUACUGAGAAAUCUCAUUCGGAGUCCCUUGCCAAGGUUAAUUGUCAUGACAUAUUCUAAAUGUCAUUUUUUGAUGAUUUCUUAGGAAAACUAAACAAUAUGAAAGAUCUAAGAGAUUAUAACAAAUGGUGAAGAAAGUUAAGAACUUACCCUAAAUAAUCUUUAAUUUAAUUUUCCAUGACCUUUGAUUUUUUGGUGCCGUUAACAACUCGUAUCAAAUCUUUUUUUUUUUUUUUUAGAGACUUAAAUAUUGCCAUAAACAUAUGCCUACAUUUCAGUUUCAAUCUAUUUUUAAAAAAAUUGCAAGAACAAAGCAAAAUAGUAGGGGCAAACUUGUUUGACAUCAAGGAACAUAUCAUUCACCAGAAUCUUCUUAUGUUUUCAAGAUUUUUCCAUGAAAUUGGGAUAUUCACUCUUAGCUAUGGAGUUUCUAUUAUCUACCCAAAAAAGCUAUGGAGUUUCUAUUUGCUGCAUUUGAACAGGCCUUCAAUUUUAAAAAAGAUGAAAGUUUGAAUGUUUAGGAUUAAGGAUGCUGAAAGUUCUGGGCAAAUCUUACUAUGUAUGUGCCUUUCUUCCCAGUUCUAACAUUUGAAGUUUGUGCAUGCUUUAUUUGGUGCAUUACUAAUCAGAUUUGAUGCUCUCUCUAUAGACGUUCUUUUCUUUGACUGAAUCUUGAACAUGAAUUGUUUCUUUACUUCAUUCCAUAGAGAGCUUUAAGCUAUGUUUCGAUAUGACCUACUGGUUUGGCCUGCUCAACUAACAGGCACAAAAUUGCGGUACCUCCAAAGGUGGUGGUCUAUUCUUUCCCCUGAUAUAUUUAGGGCCUUUUUAGCAAAGACAAGAUACUUCAAAAAAGAUUUUUGACUCCUGUGUUUGCUAUACAUGUUAGUUUCGUUGAGUAAUUUCCAUAUUUUAAAUGAAGCGUCUACGUGCUACAACUCUCUCAAUCCCUGGAUUAAAGGCCUACUGAAGAUAAAAAAGGAGGGCAGAUGAGGAAACGACCUUGGGUCAAGAUGGUAGAGUGCUAGGCGUUCAACGUCUCAAGUUCCAUUCUUAUGUAACCAUGUCAAAAAAAAAAAAGAGGGCAGAUUUCUGCCUGCUUUUAAAUUGUCAUCUUGUACAGUACUCACCCGAGUACUAGCGUGUUAGAGUGAUCGCUCAAGCAGUGUAUGCAUGUCGUAUAUACUCCCUAUUCUGGAGGUGUUCUCGUAUCAGCAGAGCUCGAGUGUGAGGCAACUCGGAUGAGUUUCUUACACUGAUUCCCAGUGAGGAACUGUGGAGAAUCCCCAAGGUACAUUCAUAUGGGUACUGUCAAUCUCAAUUGUCCGAGAUUUUGAAUGGCCGGUGGAUCUCCAUGUCGUUAGCUAUGUACCAUGUGUGCCUGGUCUAUGGUUCACUCUACCUGAACAUAGUACAUAUUAGUUUGGAGUAUGAAUACGUUUGAGGGUGUGUAAUCA
This is a non-coding RNA of Amborella trichopoda, 1544 nucleotides long. The record is from RefSeq and is a predicted model, not a curated record. NCBI's taxonomy places the organism in Eukaryota, Viridiplantae, Streptophyta, Magnoliopsida, Amborellales, Amborellaceae.